GAAGGUAUAGCUCAAGUGGUAGAGCACAUGCCUGGUAUGCACAGGGUCCUGGGUUCAAUCCCCAGUACUGCCU
Molecule: transfer RNA, 73 nt
Filed under: Camelus bactrianus (Bactrian camel)
Lineage: Eukaryota; Metazoa; Chordata; Mammalia; Artiodactyla; Camelidae
Also listed under: 2 other names
Rfam family: tRNA
About the family: Transfer RNA (tRNA) molecules are approximately 80 nucleotides in length. Their secondary structure includes four short double-helical elements and three loops (D, anti-codon, and T loops).
Source: Rfam by way of RNAcentral